AGGAGCGUAGCUCAGCUGGUAGAGCAGCGGUCUCCAAAACCGCAGGUCGCGGGUUCGAUCCCUGCCGCUCCUGCCA
RNAcentral lists this transfer RNA (76 nucleotides) under Chloroflexota bacterium. RNAcentral's name for it is "tRNA-Trp". It matches the Rfam family "tRNA". Rfam says of the family: Transfer RNA (tRNA) molecules are approximately 80 nucleotides in length. The record is from RNAcentral. Lineage: Bacteria; Bacillati; Chloroflexota.